UACAAGACCAUGGUUUCUUUAAGCUUUUGU
Molecule: non-coding RNA, 30 nt
Filed under: Rattus norvegicus (Norway rat)
Lineage: Eukaryota; Metazoa; Chordata; Mammalia; Rodentia; Muridae
Source: RNAcentral